RNAcentral lists this ribosomal RNA (361 nucleotides) under Ixodes ricinus (castor bean tick). RNAcentral's name for it is "partial 16S ribosomal RNA". The stretch from base 66 to 361 matches the Rfam family "Bacterial large subunit ribosomal RNA", at positions 2078 to 2619 of the family's 2925-position model. Lineage: Eukaryota; Metazoa; Arthropoda; Arachnida; Ixodida; Ixodidae. The record is from RNAcentral.
AAAAGCUUUCUUUAAUUGAAUAAUUGAAUUUAAUUUUUUAGUGCAAAAGCAAAAAUAAAAAUUAGGGACAAGAAGACCCUAUGAAUUUUUAUUAAAUUUUAUAAAACUUUAUAUAAAAUUUAAUUUAAUUGGGGUGAUGGAAAAAGAAUAAAUAUCUUUUUUUUAAAAAAAAAUUGGUUCCGUUUUUAGCGAUUAAAUGAAAAAAAUACUCUAGGGAUAACAGCGUAAUAAUUUUGGAUAGUUCAUAUAGAUAAAAUAGUUUGCGACCUCGAUGUUGGAUUAGGAUUCUUUUUUGGUGAAGAAGUUAAAAAAAGAAGUUUGUUCAACUUAUAAUUUCCUACUUGAUCUGAGUUCAGACCGG